UAGGCAGGUACAGAGGGAUGCUACCGGGCGACCGGAUGCGGAUCUCGAAAGCCUGUCCCAGUUCGGACUGGAGUCUGCAACCCGACUCCACGAAGUUGGAUUCGCUAGUAAUCGCGCAUCAGCCAUGGCGCGGUGAAUACGUUCCCGGGCCUUGUACACACCGCCCGUCAAGCCAUGGGAGCCGGGGGCGCCUGAAGUCCGGGACCGCGAGGACCGGCCUAGGGCGAAACUGGUAACUGGGGCUAAGUCGUAACAAGGUAUC
This 262-nucleotide ribosomal RNA is filed under the name uncultured bacterium. RNAcentral's name for it is "partial 16S ribosomal RNA". It matches the Rfam family "Bacterial small subunit ribosomal RNA", at positions 1229 to 1500 of the family's 1533-position model. The record is from RNAcentral.